Molecule: ribosomal RNA, 253 nt
Filed under: uncultured bacterium
Lineage: Bacteria
Description: partial 16S ribosomal RNA
Rfam family: Bacterial small subunit ribosomal RNA
Source: RNAcentral
UACGAAGGGGGCUAGCGUUGCUCGGAAUUACUGGGCGUAAAGGGCGCGUAGGCGGACAGCUUAGUCAGAGGUGAAAGCCCAGGGCUCAACCUUGGAAAUGCCUUUGAUACUGGCUGUCUUGAGUUCGGGAGAGGUGAGUGGAAUGCCGAGUGUAGAGGUGAAAUUCGUAGGUAUUCGGCGGAACACCAGUGGCGAAGGCGACUCACUGGCCCGAUACUGACGCUGAGGCGCGAAAGCGUGGGGAGCAAACAGG